Molecule: long non-coding RNA, 538 nt
Filed under: Oryza sativa aromatic subgroup
Lineage: Eukaryota; Viridiplantae; Streptophyta; Magnoliopsida; Poales; Poaceae
Also listed under: 1 other name
Description: lncRNA OsARC_10g0011780
Source: RNAcentral
AGCACGAGCGUCCACGGAGCAGACACGGGAUGCAGUGCCGUCGCGGUCGACUCUGUUGUAGUGGCGGAGUAUUUGGUUCCUAGCGUCGCAUUUAGGCGUCACGCCGGCUAUGGCUGUGCUACUGUUGUCAAUUUGCUGGAGGAACGAGACGAGCUGCCUCGGCAAGCGUCCGAGACAGAGCCCGAGGAGGAGGCUCCCCGGCGCGUUUGCGGGUUCGGCGGCGACGAUGACGGCGAAGGAUGGCUUGUCGUUGGCCAAGCGGCUACGUUGGUGGUGAAGGGCUCCCUCUUCUGCCAUGUUGCGGCCACUGCGGACCUACUAGCCCCCGUCCUGGAGCAGUGCUCAGAUCUCCGCGCGGUGCUCCCCGACCUCUGCCACAACCUCCCUCAACACGCCUCUACUCGGCUUCCGCGAUGCGGCGAUGGGGGCAUCGGUGGUGUGGGGGCAAAGGGGCGUCCCAACAUUGGUGGCGUGUGGCCGCCGUGGUGUAGGAGAGGUGGGGGUCAGGUUAGGGGGCGCUGUGCCUAACUAGUAGGAG